Prionailurus viverrinus (fishing cat) is the source of this 554-nucleotide long non-coding RNA. RefSeq lists it as uncharacterized. The record is from RefSeq and is a predicted model, not a curated record. The transcript has 4 exons. Lineage: Eukaryota; Metazoa; Chordata; Mammalia; Carnivora; Felidae.
GGCGCCCCCACGCCCGCAUCCUUCCAGCCUCUGCCCGCCUGGCCGCCUUCCAUGUCCCGGGGCCCCGAAAUACUCCUUUAAAAGUCCUCUGCUGUCUCCGUGCAUCCCGUGUCAUUUCUCUUUUCUCAACCAAGUGCCUUGAAGGAGCUGUCUGUACUCCCGAAUCUACAUCUUGCCUCUUGUUCACGUCUCAACCCGCUGCAGCAUAAUCACCCACCGAACAUCAUCUGGCCCUCUACUCUAUGCCAAACACUGUACCAGACUCUGAGGAUAAACUGGUUGUGCAAGAGACACAGUUCUUGUCCUCAAAUGACUGUCUCUGAAAUUGCUUUGACAUCGAUAACCAACUGACUCUCUAAAUUGCCAAUUCCACUUUUCCUUCAUUAUCAGAUGGAAAUUGUGCCUGUGUCCCCGUACAAAAUCUCCCGCGAAAUUAAAAAGAGAAUAAGAAAGCUAUUGCCGGUCCGCAAACAAGCCCAAGAAGGUCUCAUGGCGGAGACAAGAAGGACUCACAAUAAGUACUAUAUACCAACUAUUAAAGAAUCGUUAAGGGG